AGAGGCAGAUGAUUCUGGACUGAGAGCAGUCUCACUCCCUGAUUUGAAUCUUGGCUCCAUCAUUUACUGUUUUAGGUUUCUUCCUGCCAUGGGCUUCUGGGCUGUGCUCUGGCUUUGUUCCUGCUUAUCACCUCCAUCGAUCAAUCAAAUACUCUGUUUGAAUCCCAUGGAACCCAGAAAUGAAGCUUGAUUAUUUUCAGGGAGAAGAAUGAUCUCAAACAUGUGACUUGAAGCGACCAAGAAAGCAAAGAACACCUGCUAACUGAAAAGGGACAAAAUGUGAGGACCUGAUCCCUCGAUCCUCACUGUGGCCAUUUCCCCCUCUGCUUUUAAUCUACAGGUGCCUAGGUUUGAGGGGCACAUGCAGUGACAUCAGGAUGCUGCCUCUCUAGCUUUUGAAUCUGCUUCGUCAAAUUUCUUCCUUCUCAGGGAAAUGGAUGCUGGGAAUAUACUCAUCCUAACAAACUGCUCAGUUCUCACUGUGGGGGCUCCGAAGAUAAUCACUCUGGAAGAGGAGAGUUCAACACCAGGAUGUUCUCCACGGUUCAGGACAGUUCAUGCAAAUAACACCAGGAACACUGUUCCUGUAAUUAAGCUACAGUACCACUAGGAGGCAGUAUUGGGAUGCACCCACUGGCUCCAAUACUGUAUGAAUCAUCAUAUGCCUCCAUUCUGGAUGAGCCAUCCCAAACCUCCUUCAGCAUAAAGAAGUAGAACAAAGCUCACAUCACGCCAUUUCCACUGCUCAGAUGGGAGAAUACCCUUUUUGGUCCAUUCUUCUGACUUCUGAGCUCCAUGGGUGACAAGGACAGUACACACCCACCCACGACUGUGAGGGAGUGUGCCUGGAGUGCCCAGCUCUAAAUGAAAAUCAAGACAAAUGGCAGAGGCAAAGAAGGCCAGAAUGGAUAGAUGCUGAUGUACGGGGAGCCAUUUUUCACAGGCAGGUAAUUUUGGUUCACCCGGGCACUUUGCGCCAGGGCGUCCAUUUACGGACGGACGACAUGGAGUAUUUUUCAGGGCGGAGGGUGAGGCUCAAAUCUCUUGAAUCUGAAUCUAUCCCGCGGCCUCCUCAUCUUUCCCAGUUUGGAGAGUCCUCUACCGAAAUUGCAAGUAAGUGAUGACAUGCGAGUGCGGACGGAGGAGAAU
This is a long non-coding RNA of Mirounga angustirostris (Northern elephant seal), 1149 nucleotides long. RefSeq lists it as uncharacterized. NCBI's taxonomy places the organism in Eukaryota, Metazoa, Chordata, Mammalia, Carnivora, Phocidae. The transcript has 9 exons. The record is from RefSeq and is a predicted model, not a curated record.